This 496-nucleotide ribosomal RNA is filed under the name uncultured bacterium. RNAcentral describes it as "partial 16S ribosomal RNA". It matches the Rfam family "Bacterial small subunit ribosomal RNA", at positions 28 to 506 of the family's 1533-position model. The record is from RNAcentral.
GAUGAACGCUGGCGGCGUGCCUAAUACAUGCAAGUCGAGCGAACAGACGAGGAGCUUACUCCUCUGACGUUAGCGGCGGACGGGUGAGUAACACGUGGAUAACCUACCUAUAAGACUGGGAUAACUUCGGGAAACCGGAGCUAAUACCGGAUAACAUGUUGAACCGCAUGGUUCAACAGUGAAAGACGGUCUUGCUGUCACUUAUAGAUGGAUCCGCGUCGCAUUAGCUAGUUGGUAAGGUAACGGCUUACCAAGGCAACGAUGCGUAGCCGACCUGAGAGGGUGAUCGGCCACACUGGAACUGAGACACGGUCCAGACUCCUACGGGAGGCAGCAGUAGGGAAUCUUCCGCAAUGGGCGAAAGCCUGACGGAGCAACGCCGCGUGAGUGAAGAAGGUCUUCGGAUCGUAAAACUCUGUUAUUAGGGAAGAACAAAUGUGUAAGUAACGAUGCACGUCUUGACGGUACCUAAGCAGAAAGCCACGGCUAACUACGU